This 64-nucleotide transfer RNA is filed under the name Bothrogonia shuana. RNAcentral's name for it is "tRNA-Ser". The record is from RNAcentral. RNAcentral also lists the same sequence under 3 other names. Lineage: Eukaryota; Metazoa; Arthropoda; Insecta; Hemiptera; Cicadellidae.
AGUUAUUUAGCUUAAACAUAAAGCAUAUAUUUUGAAAAUAUAAGAUAGUUAAAUUUAAUAACUU